AUCUUCCAGGGUCCCUGCUCAUCAGAUCGAAACGUUGGUCUGAGCGGCUGUAAAAGGAGGAAGAGCCAAGAAUGAAACGGACUUGGAUUCUUUUGUGGCAGACAAAUUGGUUUCCAGCAAGC
Molecule: small nucleolar RNA, 122 nt
Filed under: Echinops telfairi (small Madagascar hedgehog)
Lineage: Eukaryota; Metazoa; Chordata; Mammalia; Afrosoricida; Tenrecidae
Description: Small nucleolar RNA SNORA61 (ENSETEG00000026365.1)
Source: RNAcentral